Molecule: unclassified non-coding RNA, 294 nt
Filed under: uncultured Pezizales
Lineage: Eukaryota; Fungi; Ascomycota; Pezizomycetes; Pezizales
Description: sequence contains 5.8S rRNA gene, ITS2, 28S rRNA gene
Source: RNAcentral
AACGCAUAUUGUGUCUUGUAGUAUUCUGUAGAGCAUGCCUGUCUCAGCAUCAUAAAACCUCAUCAGAUUAGGCCUUGUUUGAUGGCUUGGUUUGGAUCUUAUGAAGGAAGCAAUUGAUUUAAAAUAGUUGCUCCUUAGAAAAACAUAGAUUGCUAAGAUAUUGAUCUGUACUAAUGUAAUAAGAAUUAUAUAUCAUUGGCCAGCAGCUCUAAGCAGUUUUAUAAGUGCUUUCUGUACCCAAGAAUAUUAGCAAGAAUUGAUCUGAGAUCAGAUAGGAAUACCCGCUGAACUUAA